This 432-nucleotide unclassified non-coding RNA is filed under the name soil metagenome. RNAcentral describes it as "partial contains 5.8S ribosomal RNA, internal transcribed spacer 2, and large subunit ribosomal RNA". The stretch from base 1 to 120 matches the Rfam family "5.8S ribosomal RNA", at positions 35 to 154 of the family's 154-position model. The record is from RNAcentral.
GAUGAAGAACGCAGCGAAAUGCGAUACGUAAUGUGAAUUGCAGAAUUCAGUGAAUCAUCGAAUCUUUGAACGCAUAUUGCGCUCUCUGGUAUUCCGGAGAGCAUGCUUGUUUGAGUAUCAGUAAACACCUCAACUUCCAUAUCUUUUUUGAAAUGGGAGUUGGACUUGAGUGAUCCCAACGCUUUUCCUCACCGAAAAGUGGCGGGUUACUUGAAAUGCAGGUGCAGCUGGACUUUUCUCUGAGCUAUAAGCAUAUCUAUUUAGUCUUCCUAAAAACAGAUUAUUACCUUUGCUGCAGCUAACAUAAAGGAGAUUAGUUCUUGUGCUGACUGAUGCAGGAUUCACAAAGACAGGCUUCGGCCGACUUUGUAAACUCGAUCUCAAAUCAAGUAAGACUACCCGCUGAACUUAAGCAUAUCAAUAAGCGGAGGA